This 627-nucleotide long non-coding RNA is filed under the name Homo sapiens (human). RNAcentral describes it as "non-protein coding LINC01446:4". The record is from RNAcentral. Lineage: Eukaryota; Metazoa; Chordata; Mammalia; Primates; Hominidae.
AACCCGGCCGACAGAAGAUGGCGGAUGAGCAGCGUGCAGGGUUUUCUCCCUGUGGCUCACUCUCUCUUACUGUGCUGGGCGGUUGCUUCCUCUCCUGCUGCCCUUGGGAGUCAGACUCCAGGUUCUUCAGCCUGUGGCCCCUGGGGCUCUCGGGCCUUGGAGGACUGACUAGGAGCACACGGUGGGCCUCUCUGGUUUGGGGGCCUGGGACGUGGCGGAGCCCUGCAGCUUCUGUGCGGCCUGUUCUGGGCGUCGCGUUGAAACGCCAGCCAGUUCCCCAAGAUGGACGUAGAACUACUCUAGGAAAUUCCUCAAACACUGCCAAGUACUUCAUGGCUGAAAGCCAAAUAUUCAGUCCCCCUGGGAUUACAGGAGUGUUGAAGAAAUGUUGUGACACAUCAGAACACCGCGAAAUACAUGGACACUUUCAAAUCAUGGAAGACUCAAGGACAAAGAAGACAGAAAAUACUACACACUACCCAGAGAUUGAAACUGAAGGUGUGAACAACAGAGAAAAGAGAGGGCAAAGAAAAGGAAAACAAAGAAGACGUGGGAUAUGAAAGGUGUAUGCCAUGUGUGGACAUCAAGAAAUGUUUCAGCUCGCACUUCUGCCACCAAUUGAGCCUG